This is a long non-coding RNA of Acomys russatus (golden spiny mouse), 834 nucleotides long. RefSeq lists it as uncharacterized. NCBI's taxonomy places the organism in Eukaryota, Metazoa, Chordata, Mammalia, Rodentia, Muridae. The record is from RefSeq and is a predicted model, not a curated record. The transcript has 3 exons.
CCCUGGGGGCCUUCCAACGCAGUUGACCUGAGACCCUCCAGAUCACAUCUGCUUUGAGUCUGGGCCUAUGCAGUGGCUCAGUCCCAUUGCAUGAUGGUGUGAGCCCUUCUGCACUGAAGGCUGCUCCCAAAUGCCCCAGCUCGUGCUUGGCCCUAGCAGUCAAGACUCUUACUGGCAUGGCUGAGUACCACAGAAGAACUUACAGAUUCCAAGUGAUUCUCUCAUCCUGUGCUGGCUGUGAGUCUGCUGCUGGAUCUCUCUGCACCCCUGAUACCCUGUGGAAGGGCAACAGUGUAGCCACCUCCCAAGUUCUGGACCCUGGAUUUUUUCCUUCCUGGAGCACCAGCGUGACCUGGGCAGGUAAGGCAAGCACCUGUCAUGCACAUCAGCCAGUCAAGCCCAAGCUACGGUGACCCUUAUGUCGAAGCCAUGAACAUCUAUCUACUAUCAGAAAUAUGACAAAAUCCCAGAGAAGAAGAGUGGCCUCAAGGAACUAUUUGAACAGAGAUUCUCCAGUGCAUUGGUCUUCAUGAGUGCUGGGCGGAAGCACCUGCUCCAGGAGUACACAAGCACCAGUCUGAUGGAGAGCUUCAGCCAUGCCAUCUCUGUCCCUGGCUUUAACCAUGACAUCUGUGUCUGCCCUGUAGGUUAUCAUCAACUGAGGCUUCCGGGAGUCCUUGCUGGGGAUUGAACACAUCUUUGAGCAGCCUGGAGUUCAACACUGAAUCUACACGCUGAUGACAGAGAGACUUGGGGAAGAAAUGAACGUGGUUAUCAGGGACUUAGUAGCCCUGCAGGGACACCCCCUGGAAGUGCCUAAAAUACUGAGCCAAG